ACGCGCGGAACCUUACCAGGUCUUGACAUCCUCUGACACUCCUAGAGAUAGGACGUUCCCCUUCGGGGGACAGAGUGACAGGUGGUGCAUGGUUGUCGUCAGCUCGUGUCGUGAGAUGUUGGGUUAAGUCCCGCAACGAGCGCAACCCUUGAUCUUAGUUGCCAGCAUUUAGUUGGGCACUCUAAGGUGACUGCCGGUGACAAACCGGAGGAAGGUGGGGAUGACGUCAAAUCAUCAUGCCCCUUAUGACCUGGGCUACACACGUGCUACAAUGGAUGGUACAAAGGGCUGCAAGACUGCGAAGUCAAGCCAAUCCCAUAAAACCAUUCUCAGUUCGGAUUGCAGGCUGCAACUCGCCUGCAUGAAGCCGGAAUCGCUAGUAAUCGCGGAUCAGCAUGCCGCGGUGAAUACGUUCCCGGGCCUUGCACACACCGCCCGU
RNAcentral lists this ribosomal RNA (439 nucleotides) under uncultured bacterium. RNAcentral describes it as "bacterial SSU rRNA". It matches the Rfam family "Bacterial small subunit ribosomal RNA", at positions 959 to 1397 of the family's 1533-position model. The record is from RNAcentral.